Molecule: ribosomal RNA, 1395 nt
Filed under: metagenome
Description: bacterial LSU rRNA
Rfam family: Bacterial large subunit ribosomal RNA
Source: RNAcentral
CAUUUAAGUACAGGGACGCUUUAGAAGUGAUGUUGCCGGGCGAUGGUUGACCCGGUCGUAAGGGAUCGAAAAUGAGUAGAGAAGUCAUCAUGGAAAGAGACAAGAAAAGCUGUAUGAAUAUCUUAGGUGCCCGUACCGCAAACCGACACAGGUAGAUAGGAAGAAGAUUCUAAGGCCAACGGGAGAAGGGUUGUUAAGGAACUCGGCAAGUUGACCCCGUAACUUAGGGAUAAGGGGUGCUCAAGUGAUUGAGCCGCAGAGAAUAGGCCCAGGCGACUGUUUAGCAAAAACACAGGUCUCAGCUAAAUCGAAAGAUGACGUAUAGGGGCUGACACCUGCCCGGUGCCGGAAGGUUAAGAGGAGAUGUGAGAGCAUUGAAUUGAAGCCCCGGUAAACGGCGGCCGUAACAAUAACGGUCCUAAGGUAGCGAAAUUCCUUGUCAGGUAAGUUCUGACCCGCACGAAAGGUGUAACGAUCUGGGCACUGUCUCAACAACCCGCCCGGCGAAAUUGUAGUACCGGUGAAGAUGCCGGUUACCCGCGACUAGACGGAAAGACCCCAUGGAGCUUUACUGUAGCCUAAUAUUGGAUUUCGGUAUUUCACGUACAGGAUAGGGGGGAGACUGGGAAGCACAGGCGUCAGCUUGUGUGGAGUCGACCUUGGGAUACCACUCUUGGAGUGCUGGAAUUCUAACCUGCGGCUUUGAAGCAAGUCGGGGGACAUUGUUAGGUGGGCAGUUUGACUGGGGCGGUCGCCUCCUAAAGAGUAACGGAGGCGCUCAAAGGUUCGCUCUGCAUGGAUGGAAACCAUGCGUCAGAGUGUAAACGCAAAAGCGAGCCUAACUGCGAGAAUGACGGUUCGAGCAGUAACGAAAGUUGGAGUUAGUGAUCCGGCGGUAUGUGAAUGGAAAUGCCGUCGCUCAACGGAUAAAAGCUACCCUGGGGAUAACAGGCUGAUCUCCCCCAAGAGUCCACAUCGACGGGGAGGUUUGGCACCUCGAUGUCGGCUCAUCGCAUCCUGGGGCUGAAUUCGGUCCCAAGGGUUUGGCUGUUCGCCAAUUAAAGCGGUACGCGAGCUGGGUUCAGAACGUCGUGAGACAGUUCGGUCCCUAUCUGUCGUGGGCGUAGGAUAUUUGCAAGGAGCUGUCCCUAGUACGAGAGGACCGGGAUGGACGCACCUCUGGUGCACCAGUUGUCACGCCAGUGGCACAGCUGGGCAGCUAUGUGCGGAACGGAUAAACGCUGAAGGCAUCUAAGCGUGAAGCCGCCCUUAAGAUAAGAUAUCCCUUCUGUUUACAGAGUAAGACCCCUUGAAGACUACAAGGUUGAUAGGCUCAAAGUGUAAGCACGGUGACGUGUUUAGCUAGCGAGUACUAAUCGGUCGAGGGCUUAAUCA